RNAcentral lists this ribosomal RNA (496 nucleotides) under uncultured bacterium. Its description in RNAcentral is "partial 16S ribosomal RNA". It matches the Rfam family "Bacterial small subunit ribosomal RNA", at positions 28 to 506 of the family's 1533-position model. The record is from RNAcentral.
GAUGAACGCUGGCGGCGUGCCUAAUACAUGCAAGUCGAGCGAACAGACGAGGAGCUUGCUCCUCUGACGUUAGCGGCGGACGGGUGAGGAACACGUGGAUAACCUACCUAUAAGACUGGGAUAACUUCGGGAAACCGGAGCUAAUACCGGAUAAUAUAUUGAACCGCAUGGUUCAAUAGUGAAAGACGGUUUUGCUGUCACUUAUAGAUGUAUCCGCGCCGCAUUAGCUAGUUGGUAAGGUAACGGCUUACCAAGGCAACGAUGCGUAGCCGACCUGAGAGGGUGAUCGGCCACACUGGAACUGAGACACGGUCCAGACUCCUACGGGAGGCAGCAGUAGGGAAUCUUCCGCAAGGGGCGAAAGCCUGACGGAGCAACGCCGCGUGAGUGAUGAAGGUCUUCGGAUCGUAAAACUCUGUUAUUAGGGAAGAACAAAUGUGUAAGUAACGAUGCACGUCUGGACGGUACCUAAUCAGAAAGCCACGGCUAACUACGU